RNAcentral lists this ribosomal RNA (484 nucleotides) under uncultured bacterium. Its description in RNAcentral is "partial 16S ribosomal RNA". It matches the Rfam family "Bacterial small subunit ribosomal RNA", at positions 30 to 507 of the family's 1533-position model. The record is from RNAcentral.
AUUGAACGCUGGCGGCAGGCCUAACACAUGCAAGUCGAGCGGAUGAAGGGAGCUUGCUCAUGGAUUCAGCGGCGGGCGGGUGAGUAAUGCCUAGGAAUCUGCCUGGUAGUGGGGGAUAACGUCCGGAAACGGGCGCUAAUACCGCAUACGUCCUGAGGGAGAAAGUGGGGGAUCUUCGGACCUCACGCUAUCAGAUGAGCCUAGGUCGGAUUAGCUAGUUGGUGGGGUAAAGGCCUACCAAGGCGACGAUCCGUAACUGGUCUGAGAGGAUGAUCAGUCACACUGGAACUGAGACACGGUCCAGACUCCUACGGGAGGCAGCAGUAGGGAAUAUUGGACAAUGGGCGAAAGCCUGACCCAGCCAUGCCGCGUGUGUGAAGAAGGUCUUCGGAUCGUAAAGCACUUUUAGUAGGGAAGAAGGGAUGUAUGUUAAUCUCUUGCUGUUUUGACGGUACCAACACAAUAAGCACCGGCUAACUACGUG